GGCAAUGAGUUGUGCCUCGAGGGCCGCC
Molecule: small RNA, 28 nt
Filed under: Bombyx mori (domestic silkworm)
Lineage: Eukaryota; Metazoa; Arthropoda; Insecta; Lepidoptera; Bombycidae
Description: ovarian small RNA-1331
Source: RNAcentral